CAUUGGACGAGCUAGUCGAAUAGUCGAGCACUAUCCGUAGUGUGCAAUUAAUGAGGUAGCCGUGUCGUUGAAUAGACGGGCUAUUCGCAAGGCAUAAUCCUGUCCAUAAAAAAUUUUGCGGAUUUUUCCGCCAACUACCAUUAUACUCACUGAGUCCUCCAAAAUAAUCAAGAGUAUGCGGGACCGCCCAGCGUGGAGCAUUGUUAUUCGAACACGCGAGACUACCAAUCUUGACAUCCUUGACAGUACUGAUAACGUAUCUCUUCGAGCAGAGUGACAGUGUGCAUGGUGUCGUCAGCUCGUGUCGUGAGAUGUUGGGUUAAGUCCCGCAACGAGCGCAACCCUUGUUCUUAGUAGCCAGCACGUCAAGGUGGGCACUCUAGGAAGACUGCCGGAGACAAUCCGGAUGAAGGUGGGGAUGACGUCAAAUCAUCAUGCCCCUUAUGACCUGGCUAGCACCGCGCUACAAUGGCUGGUACAAAAGAGUCGCGAUACCGUGAGGUGGUGCUGGUCUCGUAAAACCAGUCUCAGUUCGGAUUGUAGUCUGCAACUCGACUACAUGAAGUUGGAAUCGCUAGUAAUCGUGAAACAGAAUGUCGCGGUGAAUACGUUCUCGAGUCUUGUACACACCGCCCGUCACACCAUGAGAGUUUAUAACACCCGAAGCUGGUGGCCUAACCGCAAGGAGGGAGCCAUCUAAGGUGGGAUAAAUGAUUGGGGUG
RNAcentral lists this ribosomal RNA (722 nucleotides) under uncultured bacterium. RNAcentral describes it as "bacterial SSU rRNA". The stretch from base 151 to 722 matches the Rfam family "Bacterial small subunit ribosomal RNA", at positions 874 to 1482 of the family's 1533-position model. The record is from RNAcentral.